This 216-nucleotide ribosomal RNA is filed under the name Glomeromycotina sp. RNAcentral describes it as "partial small subunit ribosomal RNA". The stretch from base 75 to 216 matches the Rfam family "Eukaryotic small subunit ribosomal RNA", at positions 721 to 864 of the family's 1831-position model. Lineage: Eukaryota; Fungi; Glomeromycota. The record is from RNAcentral.
GGGUCAGUAGGUUGGUCGUGCCACCGGUACGUACUGGUCUCACUGAUCCCUCCUUCCUGAAGAACCGUAAUGCCAUUAAUUUGGUGUUGCGGGGAAACAGGACUGUUACUUUGAGAAAAUUAGAGUGUUUAAAGCAAGCUAACGCUUGAAUACAUUAGCAUGGAAUAAUGAAAUAGGACGAUCGAUCCUAUUUUGUUGGUUUCUAGGAUUGACGUA